Molecule: ribosomal RNA, 516 nt
Filed under: Simulium cabrerai
Lineage: Eukaryota; Metazoa; Arthropoda; Insecta; Diptera; Simuliidae
Description: partial 16S ribosomal RNA
Rfam family: Archaeal large subunit ribosomal RNA
Source: RNAcentral
GUCUUUUUGGUAUUUAAUAUAAAGUCUAACCUGCCCACUGAAAAUUGUUUAAAGGGCCGCAGUAUUUUGACUGUGCAAAGGUAGCAUAAUCAUUAGUCUUUUAAUUGAAGGCUGGUAUGAAUGGUUGAAUAAGAUACAUGCUGUGUCAUAAAAAUUAAUAAUUGAAUUUAACUUUUUAGUCAAAAGGCUAAAAUUAAUUUAAAAGACGAGAAGACCCUAUAGAGCUUUAUAUACUAAUUAUUUAAGUUAUUAAGAUUUUUAAAAUUUAAUUUUUAAAGUAUAUUUUGUUGGGGUGACAAUAAAAUUUAUAAAACUUUUAUUUUUAUUAAACAUUAAUUUAUGAUUAAAUGAUCCAGUUUUAUUGAUUAUAAAUUUAAGUUACCUUAGGGAUAACAGCGUAAUUUUUUUUAAGAGUUCUUAUCGACAAAAAAGAUUGCGACCUCGAUGUUGGAUUAAGAGUAAUUUUGGGUGCAGAAGUUCAAAAUUUAAGUCUGUUCGACUUUUAGAUUCUUACAU